RNAcentral lists this small RNA (142 nucleotides) under Rhizobium etli CFN 42. RNAcentral describes it as "Alphaproteobacterial sRNA ar35". It matches the Rfam family "Alphaproteobacterial sRNA ar35". The record is from Rfam by way of RNAcentral. Lineage: Bacteria; Pseudomonadati; Pseudomonadota; Alphaproteobacteria; Hyphomicrobiales; Rhizobiaceae.
AGUUGCUCAUGAGAGGACCGUUAACCGUCUGUUAACCUUCGCGCGGCAAUCUGACGGCAAUACUCGCUUGCUCCUUGACCACGGAUGAACUGGCACCGAGCCGAGCGGAUGACGAAAGGCCGGGCGACCGGCCUUUUGUUUU